GGAUGUGAGGACGAUCUGACUGUGACAUCUGUCACCCCAUCGAUCGCCAGGGUCGAUCCGGCUGAUCUGGCUGGAUAGGCGGGUGUCCCCUGCCACCCUCACCGCUCCGUGUGUGUCCCUCCUGAAGCUGCGUGCUCAGUCGAAGAGGACGGCCUUCCCCGAAUAGAGAUGGACCGGUCUUCAGUCGAGGUGUACGAGUAGCUGCACUCCCCUACUAGAACCUCCAAACCAGCUCUCAAGACAACAGCUAUAACCAUGCACUGUAAGAAACGGCCAUGACCUCCCUCCCAUCCCAACUAGCCCCUCUG
This 308-nucleotide small nuclear RNA is filed under the name Erinaceus europaeus (western European hedgehog). RNAcentral describes it as "7SK RNA". It matches the Rfam family "7SK RNA". From Rfam's summary of the family: 7SK was discovered as an abundant small nuclear RNA in the mid-70s but a possible function has only recently been suggested. Two independent studies have found that 7SK RNA binds the CDK9/cyclin T complex (known as elongation factor P-TEFb). P-TEFb activates transcription by phosphorylating the C-terminal domain of RNA polymerase II. Lineage: Eukaryota; Metazoa; Chordata; Mammalia; Eulipotyphla; Erinaceidae. The record is from Rfam by way of RNAcentral.